UGGGGAAUUUUGGACAAUGGGCGAAAGCCUGGUCCAGCAAUGCCGCGUGUGUGAAGAAGGCCUUCGGGUUGUAAAGCACUUUUGUCCGGAAAGAAAUCCUUGGCUCUAAUACAGUCGGGGGAUGACGGUACCGGAAGAAUAAGCACCGGCUAACUACGUGCCAGCAGCCGCGGUAAUACGUAGGGUGCAAGCGUUAAUCGGAAUUACUGGGCGUAAAGCGUGCGCAGGCGGUUUGCUAAGACCGAUGUGAAAUCCCCGGGCUCAACCUGGGAACUGCAUUGGUGACUGGCAGGCUAGAGUAUGGCAGAGGGGGGUAGAAUUCCACGUGUAGCAGUGAAAUGCGUAGAGAUGUGGAGGAAUACCGAUGGCGAAGGCAGCCCCCUGGGCCAAUACUGACGCUCAUGCACGAAAGCGUGGGGAGCAAACAGGAUUAGAUACCCUGGUAGUCCACGCCCUAAACGAUGUCAACUAGUUGUGGGGAUUCAUUCCUUAGUAACGUAGCUAACGCGUGAAGUUGACCGCCUGGGGAGUACGGUCGCAAGAUUAAAACUCAAAUGAAUUGACGGGGUCAUAGCUGUUUCCU
This 583-nucleotide ribosomal RNA is filed under the name uncultured bacterium. Its description in RNAcentral is "partial 16S ribosomal RNA". It matches the Rfam family "Bacterial small subunit ribosomal RNA", at positions 355 to 1375 of the family's 1533-position model. The record is from RNAcentral.